GUAACACAUCGGAACGUACCCAGUAGCGGGGGAUAGCCCGGCGAAAGCCGGAUUAAUACCGCAUACGCCCUACGGGGGAAAGGGGGGGAUCGCAAGACCUCUCACUAUUGGAGCGGCCGAUGGCUGAUUAGCUAGUUGGUGGGGUAAAGGCCUACCAAGGCAACGAUCAGUAGCUGGUCUGAGAGGACGACCAGCCACACUGGGACUGAGACACGGCCCAGACUCCUACGGGAGGCAGCAGUGGGGAAUUUUGGACAAUGGGCGAAAGCCUGAUCCAGCAAUGCCGCGUGUGCGAAGAAGGCCUUCGGGUUGUAAAGCACUUUUGUCAGGGAAGAAAUCGUUCGGGCUAAUACCUCGGGCAGUUGACGGUACCUGAAGAAUAAGCACCGGCUAACUACGUGCCAGCAGCCGCGGUAAUACGUAGGGUGCAAGCGUUAAUCGGAAUUACUGGGCGUAAAGCGUGCGCAGGUGGUUCGUUAAGACAGUUGUGAAAUCCCCGGGCUUAACCUGGGAACUGCAAUUGUGACUGGCGGACUAGAGUUUGGCAGAGGGGGGUGGAAUUCCUGGUGUAGCAGUGAAAUGCGUAGAUAUCAGGAGGAACACCGAUGGCGAAGGCAGCCCCCUGGGCCAUGACUGACACUCAUGCA
RNAcentral lists this ribosomal RNA (647 nucleotides) under uncultured bacterium. Its description in RNAcentral is "bacterial SSU rRNA". It matches the Rfam family "Bacterial small subunit ribosomal RNA", at positions 110 to 753 of the family's 1533-position model. The record is from RNAcentral.